UCAAAAAGAUAAGGAAGCUCCCACUCCUCACCAACAAUGACUUGUCACAAACAAGAAGUAGGGGAAAAGUGUGUCAUGGCUCCCAGAAUGCGGACGAGUCCCUAAAACACAGUCACAGGAGAAUACUAUCCAUCCCAUUAACGAAUUGGCAGAUGGUUUUCCCACAGAGGGGCAAACCCCUUAGGAAGGUACUACUAGAAUAUGAUUGGCAAAAGCCAAAGCUUGUGACCUUGUGUAUUAUAAACAUCCAUUAUUACGCACUUUUAAAGAGAUCGCUUCAAUCUCCUAUCAAAGAAAACAAUACUGCUUACUUGCUCUCUACAUUUUUUUUUUCUCUAUUCCGAUCGUUGUUGCCUUAUUAUUACUUCCUAAUAGCACACAUAGACGGCUUUGACUCACCUUCACUAGUUUGUUUUGCUCGUUCAUUAAUUUCUGUUUCAUUGUUGUUGUUUUCUUUUGAAUGUUAAGUACUGUAAUUGCUAAUUAAUUGACCAUUGAGACCACAUCCUUUGAUGGUUACUUGAAACUCAUUCAAUUCUCUCUCUACACUCUAUUCUAUGACUUUUCUCUUAACAUUACGACUACUAACGGUGGUGGUAACGGCUCUUUAGCCACUUGUAUGCCAGAUCACCCACUGGAAUAUGCGCCUUACGGUGGAUUACACUUCCCACUUUCCUGCCCUACCACUAGCUCUGCCAAAUUGAACCACCAGUAACACCCAAAUUUUCCACUCUAAUCACCAGAAAAACCCAACUAACAUGUACAACCAAAAAAAAAAAAAAUGAAAUAGACCAAAUCGGCCAACACAAAAAAGAGGCAGAAUCAUCCAAACAAAAUUGUGCAGGAGCUAUUCGAAACCAAAACAAGAGAGUUCAAAAAUCGAAUGUCAAGUUGGCUCCGAGAGCGCAUGAAAUUAUCCUAGGCAAACCAGUAGUGGUCUUCAC
This 944-nucleotide long non-coding RNA is filed under the name Capsicum annuum. Its description in RNAcentral is "long non-coding RNA (CANN_LNC015953)". The record is from RNAcentral. Lineage: Eukaryota; Viridiplantae; Streptophyta; Magnoliopsida; Solanales; Solanaceae.